AGGACUUAGCUGGCAGCAUAUUUGCAUGUGCUUUAAUGAUCUUUACACGUUCGGCAUCGAAAAGCUUUCUCUGUCACUGAAACACUGUGUAAAAUUACAAGAUCUUCACUGAAUGCGAGGCAUGGAAGACUUUUAAUGAUGGCUCUACUUUGCUGAAAUAGGAAUGAGCUUCCAAUGAAUAAAGGUCGGAUUAUGUGUUGGUCACAGCAGAGCAUGGCCAAUAACAAAUAUGAAGUGAAGGAUGACCAGUAACAAAUAUAAAAGGCCUAAUGAACACAUUCUUGAUUUUAUAAAAUAGAAUUACAAUUUUGAAGUGGAUAAUGAAGGAAGUAAUAAACCUUUUUGAAAAUAGAA
This is a long non-coding RNA of Brassica napus (rape), 354 nucleotides long. RefSeq lists it as uncharacterized. The record is from RefSeq and is a predicted model, not a curated record. The transcript has 3 exons. NCBI's taxonomy places the organism in Eukaryota, Viridiplantae, Streptophyta, Magnoliopsida, Brassicales, Brassicaceae.